UACGUAGGUGGCGAGCGUUGUCCGGAUUUACUGGGCGUAAAGAGCGCGCAGGCGGUCGUUCAAGUCGCGUGUGAAAGCCCCCGGCUCAACUGGGGAGGGUCACGCGAUACUGAUCGACUCGAAGGCAGGAGAGGGUAGUGGAAUUCCCGGUGUAGUGGUGAAAUGCGUAGAUAUCGGGAGGAACACCAGUGGCGAAGGCGACUACCUGGACUGUUAUUGACGCUGAGGCGCGAAAGCGUGGGGAGCAAACAGG
RNAcentral lists this ribosomal RNA (253 nucleotides) under uncultured bacterium. RNAcentral describes it as "partial 16S ribosomal RNA". It matches the Rfam family "Bacterial small subunit ribosomal RNA", at positions 524 to 776 of the family's 1533-position model. The record is from RNAcentral.